GCAUAACGCUAUAGUACACUGUACCUCGAACGCGUUGGCCCAAUUGAUUGAUGGUGCUUGCACCUGAUUGAUUUUGGUCGCCAACGAGUGGCGGACGGGUGAGUAACACGUAGGUAACCUGCCCAGAAGCGGGGGACAACAUUUGGAAACAGAUGCUAAUACCGCAUAACAGCGUUGUUCGCAUGAACAACGCUUAAAAGAUGGCUUCUCGCUAUCACUUCUGGAUGGACCUGCGGUGCAUUAGCUUGUUGGUGGGGUAACGGCCUACCAAGGCGAUGAUGCAUAGCCGAGUUGAGAGACUGAUCGGCCACAAUGGGACUGAGACACGGCCCAUACUCCUACGGGAGGCAGCAGUAGGGAAUCUUCCACAAUGGGCGCAAGCCUGAUGGAGCAACACCGCGUGAGUGAAGAAGGGUUUCGGCUCGUAAAGCUCUGUUGUUAAAGAAGAACACGUAUGAGAGUAACUGUUCAUACGUUGACGGUAUUUAACCAGAAAGUCACGGCUAACUACGUGCCAGCAGCCGCGGUAAUACGUAGGUGGCAAGCGUUAUCCGGAUUUAUUGGGCGUAAAGAGAGUGCAGGCGGUUUUCUAAGUCUGAUGUGAAAGCCUUCGGCUUAACCGGAGAAGUGCAUCGGAAACUGGAUAACUUGAGUGCAGAAGAGGGUAGUGGAACUCCAUGUGUAGCGGUGGAAUGCGUAGAUAUAUGGAAGAACACCAGUGGCGAAGGCGGCUACCUGGUCUGCAACUGACGCUGAGACUCGAAAGCAUGGGUAGCGAACAGGAUUAGAUACCCUGGUAGUCCAUGCCGUAAACGAUGAGUGCUAGGUGUUGGAGGGUUUCCGCCCUUCAGUGCCGGAGCUAACGCAUUAAGCACUCCGCCUGGGGAGUACGACCGCAAGGUUGAAACUCAAAGGAAUUGACGGGGGCCCGCACAAGCGGUGGAGCAUGUGGUUUAAUUCGAAGCUACGCGAAGAACCUUACCAGGUCUUGACAUCUUGCGCCAACCCUAGAGAUAGGGCGUUUCCUUCGGGAACGCAAUGACAGGUGGUGCAUGGUCGUCGUCAGCUCGUGUCGUGAGAUGUUGGGUUAAGUCCCGCAACGAGCGCAACCCUUGUUACUAGUUGCCAGCAUUAAGUUGGGCACUCUAGUGAGACUGCCGGUGACAAACCGGAGGAAGGUGGGGACGACGUCAGAUCAUCAUGCCCCUUAUGACCUGGGCUACACACGUGCUACAAUGGACGGUACAACGAGUCGCGAACUCGCGAGGGCAAGCAAAUCUCUUAAAACCGUUCUCAGUUCGGACUGCAGGCUGCAACUCGCCUGCACGAAGUCGGAAUCGCUAGUAAUCGCGGAUCAGCAUGCCGCGGUGAAUACGUUCCCGGGCCUUGUACACACCGCCCGUCACACCAUGAUAGUUUGUACACCCAAAAUCGUUUGGCUUCCUUCCUCGCGCCUUCCGCCGGUUUCUCGUCCCCGCA
This 1479-nucleotide ribosomal RNA is filed under the name Limosilactobacillus fermentum. RNAcentral describes it as "bacterial SSU rRNA". It matches the Rfam family "Bacterial small subunit ribosomal RNA". The record is from RNAcentral. Lineage: Bacteria; Bacillati; Bacillota; Bacilli; Lactobacillales; Lactobacillaceae.